RNAcentral lists this ribosomal RNA (900 nucleotides) under Enterobacter ludwigii. RNAcentral's name for it is "bacterial SSU rRNA". It matches the Rfam family "Bacterial small subunit ribosomal RNA", at positions 34 to 920 of the family's 1533-position model. The record is from RNAcentral. Lineage: Bacteria; Pseudomonadati; Pseudomonadota; Gammaproteobacteria; Enterobacterales; Enterobacteriaceae.
UGCCCGCUACAGCCUCACUAGUAGUUUGUCCAGCGGCAGCGGAAGUACCUUGCUACUUUGCCCGCGAGCGGCGGAGGGUGAGUAAUGUCUGGGAAACUGCCUGAUGGAGGGGGAUAACUACUGGAAACCGUCGCUAAUACCGCAUAACGUCGCAAGACCAAAGAGGGGGACCUUCGGCCCUCUUGCCAUCAGAUGUGCCCAGAUGGGAUUAGCUAGUAGGUGGGGUAACGGCUCACCUAGGCGACGAUCCCUAGCUGGUCUGAGAGGAUGACCAGCCACACUGGAACUGAGACACGGUCCAGACUCCUACGGGAGGCAGCAGUGGGGAAUAUUGCACAAUGGGCGCAAGCCUGAUGCACCCAUGCCGCGUGUAUGAAGAAGGCCUUCGGGUUGUAAAGUACUUUCCGCGGGGAGGAAGGCGGUGAGGUUAAUAACCUCAGCAAUUGACGUUACCCGCAGAAGAAGCACCGGCUAACUCCGUGCCAGCAGCCGCGGUAAUACGGAGGGUGCAAGCGUUAAUCGGAAUUACUGGGCGUAAAGCGCACGCACGCGGUCUGUCCAGUCAGAUGUGAAAUCCCCGGGCUCAACCUGGGAACUGCAUUCGACACUGGCAGGCUAGAGUCUUGUAGAGGGGGGUAGAAUUCCAGGUGUCCCGGUGAUAUGCGUAGAGAUCUGGAGGAAUACCGGUGGCGAGCGCCGCCCCCCUGGACAAAGACUGACGCUCGUGUGCGAAAGUGUGGAGAGCAAACAGGAUUAGAUACUCUGGGUACUCCACGCCGUAAACGAUGUCGACUUGGAGGUUGUGCCCGUGAGGCGUGGUUUCCGGAGCUAACGUGUUAGUCGCAUCGCCUGCGGGAGUACCGGCCGCAGGUUAAAAUUCAUAUGGACUUUGACGGGGGG